This 71-nucleotide transfer RNA is filed under the name Erysipelothrix larvae. It matches the Rfam family "tRNA". Rfam says of the family: Transfer RNA (tRNA) molecules are approximately 80 nucleotides in length. Their secondary structure includes four short double-helical elements and three loops (D, anti-codon, and T loops). Lineage: Bacteria; Bacillati; Bacillota; Erysipelotrichia; Erysipelotrichales; Erysipelotrichaceae. The record is from Rfam by way of RNAcentral.
GCGGGUGUAGUUUAAUGGUAAAACUCCAGCCUUCCAAGCUGGCUACGGGGGUUCGAUUCCCCUCACCCGCU